This 85-nucleotide transfer RNA is filed under the name Felis catus (domestic cat). It matches the Rfam family "tRNA". Rfam says of the family: Transfer RNA (tRNA) molecules are approximately 80 nucleotides in length. Their secondary structure includes four short double-helical elements and three loops (D, anti-codon, and T loops). Lineage: Eukaryota; Metazoa; Chordata; Mammalia; Carnivora; Felidae. The record is from Rfam by way of RNAcentral.
GCCUGGGUGGCUCAGUCGGUUGAGCAUCCGACUUCGGCUCAGGUCAUGAUCCCAUGGUUUGUGGGUUCGAGCCCCACGUCGGGCC